AUUAGUUAAGAUCUUUAAAUCUAAAGAAUUUGGCGGUAUCUUAAUCUAUUCAGAGGAACCUACCCCGUUAUUGAUAGUACACGAUUAACUUUACUUAAUUUAUUUGUUUGUAUAUCUCCGUUAUCAGAAAAUCUUUUUAGAGUUAUAAUUUUCUUAAUUUAUAAUUAUAAAAUAUUUCAGGUCAAGGUGCAGCUUAUGAUUAAGAGGAGGUGGGUUACAAUAGAUUUUUUUUAUAUGAAUUUGAUAAUGAAACAUUGUUAAUGAAGGUGGAUUUGAUGGUAAAUUAAUUUAUUUAAUUUAAUUGAUAUUAGCUCUGAGGUGUGUACACAU
This 330-nucleotide ribosomal RNA is filed under the name Oxya agavisa. RNAcentral's name for it is "partial 12S ribosomal RNA". The record is from RNAcentral. Lineage: Eukaryota; Metazoa; Arthropoda; Insecta; Orthoptera; Acrididae.